RNAcentral lists this ribozyme (116 nucleotides) under Aedes aegypti (yellow fever mosquito). RNAcentral describes it as "drz-agam-1 ribozyme". It matches the Rfam family "drz-agam-1 ribozyme". Lineage: Eukaryota; Metazoa; Arthropoda; Insecta; Diptera; Culicidae. The record is from Rfam by way of RNAcentral.
UGUCCAGCUACUCCUAUCCCUACCUCCUCGUGAUACUGGCCGGGGUACGAGCAACCUUUGGGAAAAUCGGGUAAACAACCCCGGUAUGAACUUUGGUCGUAUGCUGAUAGGGAAGG